RNAcentral lists this ribosomal RNA (466 nucleotides) under uncultured bacterium. RNAcentral's name for it is "partial 16S ribosomal RNA". It matches the Rfam family "Bacterial small subunit ribosomal RNA", at positions 29 to 507 of the family's 1533-position model. The record is from RNAcentral.
ACGAACGCUGGCGGCGUGCUUAACACAUGCCAGUCGAACGGAAAGGCCCUGCUUUUGUGGGGUGCUCGAGUGGCGAACGGGUGAGUAACACGUGAGUAACCUGCCCUUGACUUUGGGAUAACUUCAGGAAACUGGGGCUAAUACCGGAUAGGAGCUCCUGCUGCAUGGUGGGGGUUGGAAAGUUUCGGCGGUUGGGGAUGGACUCGCGGCUUAUCAGCUUGUUGGUGGGGUAGUGGCUUACCAAGGCUUUGACGGGUAGCCGGCCUGAGAGGGUGACCGGCCACAUUGGGACUGAGAUACGGCCCAGACUCCUACGGGAGGCAGCAGUGGGGAAUAUUGCACAAUGGCGGAAGCCUGAUGCAGCAACGCCGCGUGCGGGAUGACGGCCUUCGGGUUGUAAACCGCUUUCGCCUGUGACGAAGCGUGAGUGACGGUAAUGGGUAAAGAAGCACCGGCUAACUACGUG